ACUUAUAUAUAUCAACAUAAAGGGUUGAUGUUUCUACUGUUUUACCAAUAAAACAACUAUGAGU
This 64-nucleotide non-coding RNA is filed under the name Spiroplasma taiwanense CT-1. RNAcentral describes it as "2dG-I riboswitch aptamer (M. florum)". It matches the Rfam family "2dG-I riboswitch aptamer (M. florum)". Lineage: Bacteria; Bacillati; Mycoplasmatota; Mollicutes; Entomoplasmatales; Spiroplasmataceae. The record is from Rfam by way of RNAcentral.